Molecule: long non-coding RNA, 310 nt
Organism: Hibiscus syriacus
Lineage: Eukaryota; Viridiplantae; Streptophyta; Magnoliopsida; Malvales; Malvaceae
Exons: 2
Source: RefSeq, a predicted model, not a curated record
CAUGCAGAAUUUCUAUGUUCAUAGAUACAUGAUAGCAAUGAUUUAUUGGCCUGCAGUUAUAUUACUGCAGUCACUGGUGUAUGACGGGGUCUGAAGCGAUUCCCUCCUCCACGUAUCAUUGUAUUCGUACUUAUUUACUCAGAUUGUUCGUUGAUUUGCUAAUGAAAUGACGCCUUUACAAUUUCAGGUAUGCUCGAACAUUUGCAUUUUUCUACACGAUCGGUUUACAUAUCCUGGUCUUUACUUGCCUAUACCGAAUGUCGGCUCUAAGCUACCUCAGCCAUGGCUCUGAAGAACCCCUCGUGGUCGA